This is a long non-coding RNA of Cyprinus carpio carpio, 1141 nucleotides long. The record is from Ensembl. NCBI's taxonomy places the organism in Eukaryota, Metazoa, Chordata, Actinopteri, Cypriniformes, Cyprinidae.
CUACUCCAGGUAGAAUAGCAUACAUUUAUGUUCGUACUCUAUUUGAAUAAUAUACCAAUAAUGUAUAGUAUCACAUCCUUCAUAGCGAGCAAACAAUAUUUCUGGGUAAAUAACAGGGCGUGAGAAGCAGACGGAGGCGGAGCUGGGAGCUCAACACACUGCCACUCCAGGCAGCUGCGCAGCUUGUCUCCUCUUCUGCUGCAGUUCUCCCCAGAGUCAGAAGUUUUUUGCACAGACCGAUUGUUUCGCUUCAUAAGACCUCUAUAUAUGGUCAAGAGCCACUGGUAUUCAUUUUGUGUUACUUGAUAUGCUUUUUUAUUCUCAAAUACAGGCAGCCACUGACUUGCAUUUUAUGAAUCACCAAGGAUCACGGUUUCAGCUAAAAAUCUUCUUUGCUUUUUACUGAAGAAAAAAAGUCACCUACAUCUUGGAUGGGCAAAACAGCAACUUUCAUUUUUGGGUGAACUAUCUCUUUAAGAACUGAACCAACUAGCAGUGAGCCAAGUAGCAGUGAUGCUUGCCUUAGCCUUAGUUUUUAAGUUGCUUCCUUCUACUCGCAGAUAUUAUUUGCCUUUAUAUAGGACCAAAAGAUUUAAAAAUUAUUUAUACUAGCUGCCAUUGUUUUAUUACAAAUAAUUUUAUGUAUAUUAUUAAUGGAAGUCGUUGUUUUGUCUGUGUGUUGUGGUGCUUGUUUGUUGUUUGCAUAUGGUUUACUGCUGGCUGUGAAACAAUUUGCCCUUGGGGGAUAAUAUAGUUGCCCUCGACUUUGACCUUGCAUGCUGCCUACAGCACAAUUACCGCAACGUUAUGAUGAAGAUUUAUGAUGUUUCUUUAAGAUGUUAUAAAUACAGAAUAUAAACUAUAAAGCUUUUAUCCUAGGGAUAGAAAAACCUCCACUUGCGUCCAAAACAGAAGCAGAUCCUGUUAAACUGUAUUGAGAGUUUUAAGGGGAAGUUGCUGCUGGCUACACCUCCAGAUCAGGCCUCUUUUCCUCUGCUGGACCGUUAACCACAGCACGGACCCCUGCCUGACACCCUUCAAGAGAACAAAGGCCUGCUGCACACUUAUACGCUAUGCUAGAAAUUGAGCACAGAUGUCAAACAGUUUGUGAGAAGGCCAAAAUCCUCUUUUAUGGCCACAU